This 233-nucleotide ribosomal RNA is filed under the name uncultured Lactobacillus sp. RNAcentral's name for it is "partial 16S ribosomal RNA". It matches the Rfam family "Bacterial small subunit ribosomal RNA", at positions 129 to 356 of the family's 1533-position model. Lineage: Bacteria; Bacillati; Bacillota; Bacilli; Lactobacillales; Lactobacillaceae. The record is from RNAcentral.
CCCAAGAGAUCGGGAUAACACCUGGAAACAGAUGCUAAUACCGGAUAACAACAGAUGAUGCCUAUCAACUGUUUAAAAGAUGGUUCUGCUAUCACUCUUGGAUGGACCUGCGGUGCAUUAGCUAGUUGGUAGGGUAACGGCCUGCCAAGGCGAUGAUGCAUAGCCGAGUUGAGAGACUGAUCGGCCACAUUGGGACUGAGACACGGCCCAAACUCCUACGGGAGGCAGCAGUG